RNAcentral lists this long non-coding RNA (444 nucleotides) under Homo sapiens (human). RNAcentral's name for it is "HSALNT0129048". Lineage: Eukaryota; Metazoa; Chordata; Mammalia; Primates; Hominidae. The record is from RNAcentral.
UUUUGUGAAGACUGAUUUUCAUUUCUCUUGGAGAUAUACUUAGAAACGGAAUUGCUGGGUUCUGUGAUAGGUAGCUGAAAUACAACAUCAUAAUUUUUACUGGAAAAUAGCCACAAUGAAGGAACACCACAAUUUCACCAUGAAAACCAGCACAACCUUACACAGAUGACAAACAUUUCCCCUCAAAACUUGUUAAACUGUAUUUGGGCUGACCAAAUUAACCAGAGUUAUUCUAUUUAUGGGGGAGCAGGAAGUAACUUGAUAAAAUGCUUUGAGUUUAUAUAUCAUGUCAAAUAAAUAGCAUAAUUUUAAAGGAAAAAAACUUGUUAGGCAAUGUUCUCUUAUUUUCUGACAUCACAUAUUGUGACAGAAUGUAAGGCCAACCUGGUUUUUACAAAUUCCGUGGUCUAAUUUUUUUGUUGUUGUUAGUGUAUAAAAAUAGCA